Molecule: ribosomal RNA, 117 nt
Filed under: Diaphorina citri (Asian citrus psyllid)
Lineage: Eukaryota; Metazoa; Arthropoda; Insecta; Hemiptera; Psyllidae
Source: RNAcentral
GCCAGCGGCGAUAGAACGUUGAAAGCACCAGUUACCAUACAUCACCAAGGUUAAGCAACGUUGCGCGUGGUUAGUAUUCGAAUGGGUGACCAUUUGGACAAUCGCGUGCUGAUCGCU